UUUAAUACCAGUGCCAAUCAAUUAUAUUUGAGGUUUUCCUAAGAAAAUUGAUUGGCACUGGUAUUAAAAU
This is a microRNA precursor of Bison bison bison, 70 nucleotides long. NCBI's taxonomy places the organism in Eukaryota, Metazoa, Chordata, Mammalia, Artiodactyla, Bovidae. The record is from Ensembl.